CAGUCCCUGCUUUCCACAGGGAAGAUGCCAGAACUGAGAAUGAUUAGAAGAGAUCAUUGGUUCCACCCCCUCAUUUUAUAGAUGAGGAAACCAAGGCUCAGGAUGGAAAUGACACACUGAGGUCAUGGCGCAGCUCUGAGGCCCAGCUGCCUCCAUGUGCAGACUCACCUACACAGCAGGCUCUUUAGGGAAGACCAGACUUUUGCUAAGCAGUUGCUGUGUGCCUGGCACUGUGCUGGAGAACAGAGAUGGCUGAGUCCUGGCACAUGCAGCGUGCAAAGAGGUCUCACAGACAUCUGCCCAAGGAGAGGGGACUCUGAUCUCCCAGCUCCCAAUCCCCUGAGCUGGCCUCAGGGCUGGGCCUCCAUCUUGUAGGAAACUGAACUUGGAAGUGGUUCCUGCCAGACUUUGGACUGACAGCGUCUCAGCGUCACCACUAGCCAGCUGACUUGGCAUAAGUGACUUUCCUUGUCUCCACCUCCGUUUUCUCUCGUGAAAAAUGGGAACCAGGGUCUUCCUCAAAGAGUUGUAGUGAUGAACUAAAACGCGGUGUGGAAAACUGAGUUCAGUACUUGGCAUACGGCAUCAGUCAGAUCUGAUUCGGCCCCACGCUACUUGACUUCAUUUGAACGUAAUUACCUCUUUGCAGACCCUAUGUCCAAAUCCAGUCACAUUCUGAAGUACGGACGGUUAGGACUCAACAUAUGAGUUGGGGGUGGGACACAGGGCUGGGUUCCAUGGAAGGAGCCAGCAUCUGAUGCCAGUUUGUCAUCUGGUCUCUGUGAUUCCCAGAUUUGCAUUGGAAGAAGGUUGCUCUUGAUUCUAUGUGGUGGGUGAAUUGGCAAGACCAGCUGCAGGGAGACCAGUUAGGAGGCUGCGGCAGACCUCCAGGUGAGAGGUGGUGGUGACGUGACUAAGUGAUAGCAAGGAAUCUGGAAAGGAGGGCAUGGAUUUGAGGAAAGGCAACAGAAGUCACUGUCAACCUCAGUGCCCGAGAUCACCAGUGUCCUUAUUGAUAUUAACCACAGUAAUACUUUGGUGUGUUUUCUUUCUCUCCUCUUUUUCUAUAUACAUAUAUAUGUACAGUUGGGCCUCCGUAUCUGCAGGUUCCAUAUCUGUGGAUUCAACCAACUGUAGCUCGAAAAUAUUUUUUUUUUUUAAAAGUUAUGCUGCUGCUCAUGUGCUUUGCAGUUAGGCCAAUUAUAAUUGCAUCUGAACUGAACACGCAGACGUUUUCUUGUCAUUAUUUCCUAAACAAUAUAGUAUAAUGACUACUUACAUAGCAUUGCAUUGUGGUAGUUCUUAUAGGUAAACUAGAGAUGAUUUAAAGUAUAUGGGAGGAUAUGCAUGGGUUAUACGCAAAUAAUAUGCCGUUUUAUAUAAGGAACUUGAGCAUGGGUAGAUUUUGGUCUCUGCAGGGGGUUCUGAAACGCCUCCUCCUAUACUAAAGCACGACUGCAGGGGUAUAUUUGUAUAGUGUUGGGAUAACAUUGUGUUUAUAAUUUUGUAUGUAGACCGUUAUCUGUAUCUUAUUUUACCAAUUAUCUGAAGCAUUAAAUAUUACUUUAAAAUAUUUUUAAUAAGUGAUUUAUUGUUUCCCUUGUGUGGUUCCUGGAGUCGCAGUAAAAACAUCUUAAUGGAACAUACCUAGGAGAAUUUGAGGAGGAAAAAAAAUGGAGUGAAUGAUGCUGAGAGCUACGCGGGCUGUGUCCUGCAGGUACCACUGGUUCUCCUGCUGUGAGAGAAGCCCAGUUUCCCGACAUCCCCUACGUGUUUAGAGACGUGGGCAUAAAGCCGGCUUCCCUAGGCACGUCCAGGUGCACCGUCAGCUCUUGCCUGUCAUGGAAACAAGCCGAACACCCUGUGCACGCCGAAUACUCUCAAAUAAACCAAGUCCUUUAACUGCUCGUGAACUUGAAUUCUGUUUCUGGUGCAAGCAUUUUCAGGAACUAAGAGGACACGUUUUAGAGCGUUUUAAGUUCCCAUGAAACACAUGAACACAUCUGUAAAUCUACGUUAUUUUUGUAUAUCCUGAUCACCACUAGCACUACUCAGAUUAACCUUAUUUUAGUUACAUUAUAACAGAAAGGCAGUAUUUCUUGAGUGCGUUACAACAAAUCACGGUUGGGUCCAAAUUGCCUGUGAAUGUAACAAAGGUCUAGAGAUUUUGUUUUCUGAGCUGACCUCACUAUGUUAUGUCAGUAACUUCCAGGGACCCUGGGGACAGGCAGCUAGUGCUAUACGAUCUUUCAGAAGUGACUCGCCGACUAUUCACACAACCAUCCCCAACAGUAUGAAUGAAUUUCACAAACAAAUUUUGAGAAAAAGCCAGCCAGCCAUAAAAGAUAAACUACUAUAUGAUUCUAUGUUUCAAAGUUCAAAAGCAGGGAAAACAAAUCUAUUAGGCCAGAUGUUAGGAUAGUGGUUAGCUUGGGGAAAUCGUGACUGACACGAAAUGGGUGUGGGGGGAGGGUGCCUAGGGUGCUGGUAAUAUUUCCUGAACAGCUAUGUUCACUUUGGAAAAGUUCAUAGCACUAUGACUUGUGAUUUUGCACUUUUCUGUAUGUGUGUUAUAUUCUAAUAAGAAGUAAAAUAAAAAUGGUUUGUCCGGGUUCUGGCUGCUGUGUUUGGCAUCGGU
Rhinolophus ferrumequinum (greater horseshoe bat) is the source of this 2638-nucleotide long non-coding RNA. RefSeq lists it as uncharacterized. Lineage: Eukaryota; Metazoa; Chordata; Mammalia; Chiroptera; Rhinolophidae. The transcript has 5 exons. The record is from RefSeq and is a predicted model, not a curated record.